This 548-nucleotide ribosomal RNA is filed under the name uncultured Oceanospirillaceae bacterium. RNAcentral describes it as "bacterial SSU rRNA". It matches the Rfam family "Bacterial small subunit ribosomal RNA", at positions 57 to 595 of the family's 1533-position model. Lineage: Bacteria; Pseudomonadati; Pseudomonadota; Gammaproteobacteria; Oceanospirillales; Oceanospirillaceae. The record is from RNAcentral.
GCAGUCGAGCGGUAACAGGAGUUAGCUUGCUAAUUUGCUGACGAGCGGCGGACGGGUGAGUAACGCGUAGGAAUCUGCCUAGUAGUGGGGGACAACAUGUGGAAACGCAUGCUAAUACCGCAUACGCCCUACGGGGGAAAGGAGGGGAUCUUAGGACCUUUCGCUAUUAGAUGAGCCUGCGUGAGAUUAGCUAGUUGGUGGGGUAAAGGCUCACCAAGGCGACGAUCUCUAGCUGGUCUGUGAGGAUGAUCAGCCACACUGGGACUGAGACACGGCCCAGACUCCUACGGGAGGCAGCAGUGGGGAAUAUUGGACAAUGGGCGCAAGCCUGAUCCAGCCAUGCCGCGUGUGUGAAGAAGGCCUUCGGGUUGUAAAGCACUUUCAGAGGUGAGGAAGGUUGUGUAGUUAAUACCUGCAUAAUUUGACGUUAGCCUCAGAAGAAGCACCGGCUAACUCUGUGCCAGCAGCCGCGGUAAUACAGAGGGUGCGAGCGUUAAUCGGAAUUACUGGGCGUAAAGCGCGCGUAGGCGGUUUGUUAAGUCGGAUGU